CCGGGGACCGGGGACCGGCUGCCCCAGCGCCCAGGGCGCCUUGCAGCACCAGCCAGGACUUCCGGGGGCAGCGGAAGGCUCAGGGACAGCGCCCAAAGGGUUAAGCGAGCUGGUUCCGGGGCGAUGGGCCCUUCUUCCGGUUACAAGAAGGCUUGGUUGCCCCAGGAGCCUAAGGGCUAAAGGAGAGGAAGAGCUCCCUCCGGGCUCUCCAGCCGCCCUGGGUUCUAGAGCCGCUCUAAACGCCUCCUCCUGCUGCGGUAGACUCUCAGCGGCUCUUCUGUGCCCAGGCUUGGAGAAACCCGACCAAGAAAGGCCUCUUUUGUGUCCUGACGGGGAAGCAGCCUGGCCAGACCCUGUGGCCUCCCGCUAACUGGGCAAAGGGGGCGGGGAGGUGGGGCUGAGAGUCCGAACGUCCAGGCGCCAUUUUUGGCCCUCUAAGGAAGCGCUGACCACCCCCAGGCGAAGAGCCCCAUUUCCCAGGCUGCUGAGGACCCCAUCCUUGCCGCCCUCGGGGAGCAAGUGCGACUGCGAGUUCCCAGCGCAGCUCUGGGGAGCCACAGGGGGCGGCAGGGGGCGCCCUUCCCCGGCCGGCCUCCCCUGCACGGCUGAGCUCCGCAGUGCUCGCGCUGGCCUCUGAAAAAGCCCCCCAAAGCCAAGUUUCUUCACAUCUUACUAUUCAGUAUGUGCCUUGCAGACAAGGUUACCCCAGAGCAGCUCUGUAAUCCUUCACUGAAAUAGGCUUUAUUGAUUGCUCUGGUCUAUUGUUCUCUUUUCAAGUCCCCCAAGUUCAAGUUCAUCGUGGUGUUACAUCAUGUCUGGUUGCUAGGGGCAACCAGACAGACCCAGACGUGACUAUCAUUAGCAAGAAAGCCUCGGCUCUCCUCCCACCACCCUUCCAGUGGCUCUGACGUAGCAGGGCCCACUGCAAACACAUUGAGAUUCUACGGCUGGCCAAUGAGGAAAUACAAGCAGAUGAUGGUUAAGGUCAUGUUGGGCAGAUUAAAAAAUCCGCCAUGUCUUUGGGCAUUUCUGGUGCCACAACUUCCAGUUCAAUAUGGUUUCUGCCUUUCUCCUGAUUUGACAGUUCCAGAAAUGUAACUUCUUGCCUUGGGACAGACAGCAAAGGCUUUCUUCUGUUCUUUAUCUCAGCCAGCCCCAAUAGGACACUACAACAUGGGCGGAUGCUAUCUGGAGAUCCAGACAUCAGGGAAACAAAUGCUCCAGACAGAUCUGCCGUCCCCCAAAGGUCCUGGCUCGGGGACCGGCCGGCUCCCCAUUUGUCAGCCGCCCACCCUAUUCCCAGGAAGUGUCAUCCAUGCCCGGCGUCCUCUCCCUGGCGCUCAAGGUGAAACAUCCCCCAGAAUUCUGCAGUCCAGCAAAAGAUCCAGCUUCCCUUUUUUCUCCAGUCAAACGAAGAAGUAAUCUCAUCAGGUUGGAAAGUGCUGACUAAGGAUUUAAUAAAGGGCCUGCAGAUGUGUGUCAUCUCGGAGGUAUUCAACUCAUGUAAUGCAAAACAGUUGCACACUGAGCGUGCUUAUAAAAUUCCAUUUAACCAUU
Monodelphis domestica (gray short-tailed opossum) is the source of this 1557-nucleotide long non-coding RNA. RefSeq lists it as uncharacterized. NCBI's taxonomy places the organism in Eukaryota, Metazoa, Chordata, Mammalia, Didelphimorphia, Didelphidae. The record is from RefSeq and is a predicted model, not a curated record.